UACCAGCUCUCCGAGUGGUAGGGAUGAUUAUUGGGCUUAAAGCGUCCGUAGCCGGCUUAGCAAGUUUCCUGUUAAAUUCAGUCGACCUAAUCGUUGAGCCGCGGGAAAUACUACUAGGCUAGGAGGCGGGAGAGGUCGACGGUACUUCUGGGGUAGGGGUGAAAUCCUAUAAUCCCGGGAGGACCACCAGUGGCGAAGGCUGUCGACUAGAACGCGCUCGACGGUGAGGGACGAAAGCUGGGGGAGCGAACCGGAUUAGAUACCCGGGUAGUCCCAGCUGUAAACGAUGCGGGCUAGGUGUUGGGGUGGCUACGUGCCACUUCAGUGCCGCAGGGAAGCCAUUAAGCCCGCCGCCUGGGGAGUACGGCCGCAAGGCUGAAACUUAAAGGAAUUGGCGGGGGAGCACCACAAGGCGUGAAGCUUGCGGUUC
This 430-nucleotide ribosomal RNA is filed under the name uncultured archaeon. RNAcentral describes it as "bacterial SSU rRNA". It matches the Rfam family "Archaeal small subunit ribosomal RNA", at positions 474 to 903 of the family's 1478-position model. The record is from RNAcentral.